AUGACUUGUAGAGAAUAUUCCCUCUAAGGAGGAGGAAGCUCCACCCACCAUUUAAAGGCAUGAAAGCAGAGAUGCUUGGAGUCAGAAACAGAAACGAUAUUGGCUAGAAGUUGAUUUCAUGAUACUUCUUUAACUUCGCAAAAAGCGAAGGGCCAAGUGAAACGGUCUGACUCAUAUGCUCGGUGCAAGCCUUAAGGCGCUUAGAUAAAUUAUUCAUUACCAUCUAAUGAUUCCUCUUUGAGAGGAUGAAUGGUAUAACAAAAGGUGGACUACUACAAGUCAU
This 283-nucleotide RNase P RNA is filed under the name Candidatus Aenigmatarchaeota archaeon. Its description in RNAcentral is "RNase P RNA component". It matches the Rfam family "Archaeal RNase P". Rfam says of the family: Ribonuclease P (RNase P) is a ubiquitous endoribonuclease, found in archaea, bacteria and eukarya as well as chloroplasts and mitochondria. Its best characterised activity is the generation of mature 5'-ends of tRNAs by cleaving the 5'-leader elements of precursor-tRNAs. Cellular RNase Ps are ribonucleoproteins. Lineage: Archaea; Nanobdellati; Candidatus Aenigmatarchaeota. The record is from RNAcentral.